GCUGUCCAGCGCAAUAAAGAGGGUGCAGCUGGAGCUCGCUUGCCUGGAAACAGAGGUUGGUAGGAACUCAGCAAAUACCAAUCCGCUCAAUGCCAAGCCUUACCCAUACCCUCUCUCCCACUAUUUCCAGCCGCCGCGUAGGCACCUGAACGCAGAUCAAUAACCCACACACACACGCAUUUCUAUCUCUAACGCUAUGUCUCUUGCCAGAACUCCGUCACACACGACGGAGUCCACCUGGGACUGCAUGCUCCCUGGCCCGCCAUCACGCAACAAUUUUGGUUCCAUCGACCUUUCCUCCUCUGGUCUCCUCGCCUUUCCCUCCGGAUCCUCCAUUUCAGUCGUCGAUUCCCGUUCCCUCCAGCUUAUUUCCACGAUUCCUCUGCCUCCUCCUUCAUCUCCUUCUUCCAAUUCCUCUUCUUCUUUAUCUCCAUUCAUCACUUCCAUUCGCUGGACUCCUCUUCCCCUCCAUCGUGACCUCCUCUCCACCGAGCCCUCCUCUCAUCUCCUCCUCGCUGCCGCUGACCGUCAUGGCCGCAUUGCCCUCCUUGAUUUUCGUCUCAAGUCUGUUCUCCUCUGGUUCGACCAGGAUCCUAACCCGAAAUGUGGCAUCCAGGACCUUUGCUGGGUACUCUCCCGCCCCGAUUCAUAUAUCCUAGCUUCCAUCGCUGGUCCUUCCUCUCUCUCCCUUUACAGCAUCACUUCUUCUGCUCGAUGUUUCUUCAAAUACGAUGCGUCGCCGGAGUUCCUCUCGUGUAUCCGUCGCGAUCCGUUCGAUUCCCGCCAUUUUUGUGUGCUCGGACUCAAAGGCUUUCUGCUAUCCAUUAAGGUGCUUGGAGAAACAGAGGAUGAUGUUGCGAUAAAGGAGCUUCACAUUCCAGCGGAUUGCAGUGAAUUGCUGCGGCUAGAGAGGGAUGCAGCAGGUGGAUCCUCUUCUUCGGCGCCAGCUUCGGCAGUGUACCCUCUCUACUGCGUGAAAUUCGCGUUUUCGCCGCAGUGGAGGCACAUUAUCUUUGUGACUUUUCCCAGAGAGUUGGUGGUGUUCGAUUUGCAGUACGAGACGGCCCUUUUUAGCACGGCAUUGCCACGAGGGUGUGGGAAGUUUCUGGAUGUGUUACCGGAUCCAAAUAAUGAGCUGCUGUAUUGUGCUCACCUUGAUGGGAGGCUCAGCAUAUGGCGUCGUAAAGAAGGAGAGCAGGUGCAUGUAAUGUGUACGAUGGAGGAGAUGAUGCCCUCAAUUGGCUCAUCUGUCCCUUCUCCUUCGGUUCUAGCUGUCACCAUCUGCCAAUCAGAGUCCACACUCCAAAAUGUUGCCAAGUUAUAUUCUGAUGCACCUAAUGCACCUUUAGCUGAUAUGGAUUUUGAUAAUCCCUUUGAUUUCUGUGAUGACACUCUUCUUCUUUCCAAGACACAUGUGAUAUCCAUUUCUGAUGAUGGAAAAAUAUGGAACUGGCUCUUGACUGCUGAAGGGAUUGGAGACACCCAAAAGGAUGUUACAGACUUGGGUAUAGUUUCUGAUUCCUGUGAAGUGCCAGUUUUGGGGGCCAAUGGUAAUGGCUUAGCUUCUGCUGAUGGACUUGCUUCUGAAGCAAGCAAGCAACAAGAGAAUAUGGGUGUCAAUAAAAGCCGUCCAUCGUCUAUUCUUAGCCAGGCAAGCAUAUCCUGCAAGAUCAGCCUAGUUGGACAGCUGCAGCUUCUUUCUUCAACAGUAACUAUGCUGGCUGUGCCCUCCCCCUCUUUGACAGCUACUUUGGCACGUGGAGGAAAUUAUCCUGCUGUAGCUGUUCCCCUGGUUGCUUUGGGAACUCAGAGCGGAACAGUUGACAUCGUUGAUGUUUCUGCCAAUGCUGUUGCUGCAAGUUUCUCAGUUCAUAAUGGUACAGUUAGAGGAUUACGAUGGCUUGGAAAUUCUAGACUGGUUUCAUUUUCUUACAAUCAGGUGAAUGAAAAAACUGGAGGUUACAUUAAUAAGCUUGUUGUGACCUGUCUUAGAAGUGGCCUUAACAGACCAUUUCGGGUUUUACAAAAGCCAGAGCGUGCACCCAUUAGAGCUUUGAGGACUUCUUCAUCUGGAAGGUAUCUUCUUAUUUUGUUUCGUGAUGCUCCUGUGGAGGUUUGGGCAAUGACAAAAAGUCCCAUUAUGAUCAUUAGCUCUUCCAUUCACGGUAUUGGAAUGGACUCUUCCAACAGUUCCACGGACAGUUCAAAAUGGUCCUUCUAGGCAAUUUUCAUGGUCGUCAAAAGAUCAGCAACCAGUAGAUUCAGAUGCAGCAUCUACCCCAAAGGCUGCCUCAUCAGAAUCUACGGCAGCUAGCUCAGAUGCUUCUCAGGAUGACACAGCAGAAAGCUUUGCAUUUGCACUAGUAAAUGGUGCACUUGGAGUUUUUGAGGUUCAUGGGCGGAGGAUCCGGGACUUCAGACCAAAAUGGCCCUCUUCUUCAUUUGUUUCAUCUGAUGGAUUGAUCACAGCCAUGGCCUACCGCUUACCUCAUGUUGUUAUGGGAGAUAGGUCAGGGAACAUACGAUGGUGGGAUGUGACGACUGGGCAUUCUUCAUCUUUUAACACUCAUAGGGAAGGAAUCAGGAGAAUCAAAUUCUCACCCAUUGUCCCUGGAGACCGUAGCCGAGGACGUAUUGCAGUGCUUUUUUUAUGAUAAUACCUUUUCUGUAUUUGACCUUUGGGACGGGGUGAGUUGGUGGGAAAUUUGAGCACUAGUGGAGGAUCCACGAGGAACUUCGUUAAAAUCCAGCAAGCAUUUGCUAUAUACAUUCUUUUGAACCAUAUUUUAUGUUAUUAUUUAUUACUGCUUGUGUGCAUUUACAUCUUUUAAUGGAGUUCCUCACUUAAUCCUGUUGCUCUACAUGUUCUCAAAUUGCAGGAUUCACAGGAUCCAUUAGCCAAUUCUCUUUUGCAACCUCAAUUUCCUGGAACCCUUGUAUUGGAACUUGAUUGGCUGCCUUUGCGGGGUGACAAAAAUGACCCUCUGGUGUUAUGCAUUGCUGGAGCUGAUAGCAGCUUCCGCCUUGUUGAAGUUAACAUAAAUGACAAAAAGCCUGGAUAUGGAUUGCGGCCUCGGGCUACUAAAGAAAGAUUCAGGCCUAUGCCAAUAUGCUCUCCGAUACUGUUCCCUACACCACAUGCGCUGGCAUUGCGGAUGAUUUUGCAACUGGGCGUCAAGCCCUCUUGGUUUAACACUUGCGGAACAGCUAUUGAUAAGAGGCCUCAUUCCAUUCCUGGAACUGCUUCACCUGCAGCAGAUCUACGCAGUUACAUGAUUGAUUUACCUGCUGUUGGUGAUUCUGUAGUGCCAGAAAUGCUCCUUAAAGUAUUAGAGCCUUAUCGAAAAGAAGGAUGCAUACUUGAUGAUGAGAGAGCAAGAUUAUAUGCUACCAUAGUCAACAAAGGUUGUGCUGUGAGGUUUGCCUUUGCAGCUGCUAUUUUUGGUGAAACUUCGGAAGCUCUUUUCUGGUUGCAAUUGCCUCAUGCCCUAAAACAUUUGAUAAAUAAGUUGGUAAAUAAGUCUCCACAGAAAGUACCCAUCUCAGCUUCAAUGCCGGAGAUUGAUGGCACGGCUAUGUUGAACAGAAUUGCAUCAAAGGGGAAAUCAGUAACUGGUACUGAGAACAGGGAUUUAUUGAGCAGUGGUCAACUUAGAUUGAUGGCUUUCCAGCAAGAAGAGUUAUGGGAGAGUGCUAAUGAGCGCAUUCCUUGGCAUGAGAAACUGGAGGGAGAAGAGGCUAUUCAAAACCAUGUGCAUGAGCUUGUAUCAGUUGGGAAUUUGGAAGCAGCAGUUAGUUUGUUGCUUUCCACCUCUCCAGAUAGUUCUUAUUUCUAUGCAAAUGCUCUACGUGCGGUUGCUCUUUCUUCUGCUGUGUCAAGAUCUCUUCAUGAGCUUGCAGUUAAGGUUGUUGCAGCUAACAUGGUCAGGACUGACAGAUCAUUGUCUGGUACUCAUCUUCUUUGUGCUGUUGGAAGGUAUCAAGAAGCUUGUUCUCAGGUUAGGUUCUAUACCAUUUCUUUUUUAUUUGCAUAUUUAAGGUCUUGUGGUGUAGUUAUGAAAUUUUAGUCUUUCUUCAAAUUCCGCUGCAUUUCGGUAUUUCAGCAUUCAGUUGAGUAUGUGUGGUACUUGUCCAUUUUGCUCUCUUUUGCAUAUCGAAAACUUAUCCUGGUCCACACUCAGUUUAUUCAGGCUCUGGAAGAGAGUGACAACUUCUUGGAGAAUACGAUCAUAAACUUCUGAGAGCAUUGCUUACAUCAUUGCUAAAUUUGUAGGGAUCAUAUCAAAUCUUCCAUCUUUAAAGUGAUCUCCAUAUAUCAUCACUGAGCUCCAUUCAGUUGUGUUUUUUCCCUUUGCUGAAUCAAUAACAGAUCCUCCAAAGUUUGUGGUUGGACUUCCAAUUCUAACACAUUCACUUCUGCAGCUGCAAGAUGCUGGAUGCUGGACAGAUGCUGCAACUUUAGCUGCUACACACUUGAAGGGAUCUGAUUAUGCAAGGGUCUUGCAAAGAUGGGCUGAGCAUGUUCUUCGUUCUGAAUACAACAUCUGGAGGGCUCUAAUUUUGUUUGUUGCGGCUGGUGCAUUGCAAGAGGCCCUUGCAGCACUUCGUGAAGCACAGCAACCUGAUACAGCUGCCAUGUUUAUACUUGCUUGCCGAGAAAUCCAUGGAGAAAUUAUUGGUCAUUUAAGAAAUUCAGAUGAUGAAUCAGGGUCUUCAGACAAUAAUGUUCUAAUUAACUUACCUGGGUUGAACCCAGAGAAUGAAGAUGUUAUUGCAGUUGGUGAAUAUUUUGGGCAGUAUCAAAGAAAAUUGGUGCAUCUAUGCAUGGACGCACAGCCAUUUUCUGAUUAAUUGACCAAGCGUGUUAGAUUUUUUUUUUAUUUUUUAAUUGUAGUUUCUCAUCUUGUAUUGAUUAGUAAUGACUAUUUCAAAAAAAAGGAAGCUCAUGGCCAGUCAAUAGAUUGGAUUCAGAUCAUGACACCAAAGACCAGAUUCAAUUGCAAAAGUUAGCUCUGCAUCCCGGUUGAAGUUUGGUGAGAGGACAAGAAGAGACGGAUGAAAAGGUUUUUCUGCUUAGAUCUCUACUCAGAAUGGCUUGUGGUAAAGUUGUUGACUUCUCUACUCCAUUUUCG
RNAcentral lists this unclassified non-coding RNA (5132 nucleotides) under Hevea brasiliensis (rubber tree). Lineage: Eukaryota; Viridiplantae; Streptophyta; Magnoliopsida; Malpighiales; Euphorbiaceae. The record is from RNAcentral.